This 491-nucleotide ribosomal RNA is filed under the name uncultured bacterium. Its description in RNAcentral is "partial 16S ribosomal RNA". It matches the Rfam family "Bacterial small subunit ribosomal RNA", at positions 29 to 507 of the family's 1533-position model. The record is from RNAcentral.
AGUGAACGCUGGCGGUAGGCCUAACACAUGCAAGUCGAACGGCAGCACAGUAAGAGCUUGCUCUUACGGGUGGCGAGUGGCGGACGGGUGAGGAAUACAUCGGAAUCUACUUUUUCGUGGGGGAUAACGUAGGGAAACUUACGCUAAUACCGCAUACGACCUACGGGUGAAAGCAGGGGAUCUUGGACCUUGCGCGAUUGAAUGAGCCGAUGUCGGAUUAGCUAGUUGGCGGGGUAAAGGCCCACCAAGGCGACGAUCCGUAGCUGGUCUGAGAGGAUGAUCAGCCACACUGGAACUGAGACACGGUCCAGACUCCUACGGGAGGCAGCAGUGGGGAAUAUUGGACAAUGGGCGCAAGCCUGAUCCAGCCAUACCGCGUGGGUGAAGAAGGCCUUCGGGUUGUAAAGCCCUUUUGUUGGGAAAGAAAAGCAGCAGGUUAAUACCCCGCUGUUCUGACGGUACCCAAAGAAUAAGCACCGGCUAACUUCGUG